UUAGUAACGGCGAGUGAAGCGGCAAUAGCUCAAAUUUGAAAGCUGGCGUCUUCGACGUCCGCGUUGUAAUUUGUAGAGGAUGCUUCGGCGAAGACUCCUGCCUAAGUCCCCUGGAACGGGGCGUCAUAGAGGGUGAGAAUCCCGUAUGUGGCGGGCAGUCUAAGCCAUGUGAAGCUCCUUCGACGAGUCGAGUUGUUUGGGAAUGCAGCUCUAAAUGGGAGGUAAAUUUCUUCUAAAGCUAAAUAUUGGCCAGAGACCGAUAGCGCACAAGUAGAGUGAUCGAAAGAUGAAAAGCACUUUGGAAAGAGAGUUAAAAAGUACGUGAAAUUGUUGAAAGGGAAGCGCUUGCAACCAGACUCGCUCGUAGUUGCUCAGCCGGCCUCUUGGCCGGUGUACUCUUCUACGAUCGGGCCAGCAUCAGUUCGGGCGGCAGGAUAAAGGUGUCGGGAAUGUAGCACCCUUCGGGGUGUGUUAUAGCCCGGCGCGGAAUGCUGCCAGCCUGGACUGAGGAUCUCGCUUCGGCAAGGAUGCUGGCGUAAUGGUUGUAAGCGGCCCGUCUUGAAACACGGACCAAGGAGUCUAACAUCUAUGCGAGUGUUUGGGUGUCAAACCCAUGCGCGUAAUGAAAGUGAACGGAGGUGGGAACCCCUCACGGGGUGCACCAUCGACCGAUCCUGAUGUCUUCGGAUGGAUUUGAGUAAGAGCAUAGCUGUUGGGACCCGAAAGAUGGUGAACUAUGCCUGAAUAGGGUGAAGCCAGAGGAAACUCUGGUGGAGGCUCGCAGCGGUUCUGACGUGCAAAUCGAUCGUCAAAUUUGGGUAUAGGGGCGAAAGACUA
RNAcentral lists this ribosomal RNA (837 nucleotides) under Phyllosticta capitalensis. Its description in RNAcentral is "partial 28S ribosomal RNA". It matches the Rfam family "Eukaryotic large subunit ribosomal RNA", at positions 80 to 933 of the family's 3401-position model. The record is from RNAcentral. Lineage: Eukaryota; Fungi; Ascomycota; Dothideomycetes; Botryosphaeriales; Phyllostictaceae.